UGCUAGUAAACGGGAAACAGGGAGAAAACUGCUAGACUAUGCCAUCCCACAGUGGAAACCGGUAGGCGAGGAAUGCCGUUAGGGGAAUACACAAGGUUGAAGCGCUGAUAAGCAGUAAUUAUCCGCAAAAGUACGAUGCUAGUAGUGACCGAAAAACAUGAUAACGAUAAUCUAGUUUAUAAUAAACUAAUAUGAAUUUAAUUGAAUUAUGAUAUGAUAGGAAGGAAUAAUUGAAAACAAACUUGCAUAAAUAAAUAAACAUGAUUACAAUGUAUGAUGAAAUAAAAAGUUAUAAAACUUUGAUCUUAUAUAUACUUAAAGAUAUAGAAAUUGUUGACCUAAAAAAAGAAUUAGAUGGGAAAAAAUAUUUGAUCAUGAUAUAGAAGACAUAUUAAAUCAAGAAUGGUAUGAAAUAGAUUCACAAAAAUUAGAUAUAGAAAGAAUAGAUAAUAUACGAUUUAGAAAUAGAUUUAGAUUAAAAUGAACUUUGACUAUCUAGAAUAUUGGAUAGAAACUAUGAAAAAUAUAAGAUUAUUAAAACAAUUAAUACAAGAAAAUUUAUACAUGUACCAAAGAUCUCAAGAUAUGUUAUACAUAGAAUAUAUAAUAAAUAAUAUUAAAGAAAUAUUUAGAUUAGAACAGUUAUCAAAAGAACUUUAUAAUAAAAUAUAUUUUACUCUAAAUAAAAUAUAUUUUACUCUAUAAAAUAUAUAUCUUACUUUAUGAUGAAUUCCGCACCCCCAACAUUCUAUAAAAUAUAUAUCUUACUUUAUGAUGAAUUCCGCACCCCCCCAGUAACAUAUUUGAAAGUUUUCGAUAAUCAAUAUUAGUUAUAAAUAAGUUCAGACUGUUAAAAAAUGUACACUACAACAACAUAAAUAAUUUUUUUUAUUUUGCGAUGUCAAACAUUCACCACUUUUUGUUACUGUUACUUGGUUACUCUACCAAAAUUUAUAGAAGUAAAAUAAAUUUGAACCAACAACAAAAUAAUAUUGUUGUCCCUUUUAGAAUUUCAUUCUUCAAUAAAGUGAUACUCUGAAAGCGCUUCUAGAUGUGUCAUCAAUGCAAUAUUACGACUUGUUCAGAAAUAUGUAAGUAUAAUAAUUGCAUUCUAAAAGUACAAGUAGAUAAAAAUGUUGAAUUCUAGACUCAUGCUAAAUAAAUAUUCUCCAAUAUUUAAAAAUUAAAAAUGAGUCUAAUUUAGAUAACUCAAACACUCAAUAAUGACUUGGUACAAGAAGGACAUCAAAUCUAUAUUAAUAGACAUUAAGAUAUUACUUUUAUUUAGAGUCUGUUUUAUUUCAUAUUUUUCAAAUUAUGUUGAACAAAAAUAUUCAUAACUCACACAAAAAAUAUUUUGAAGAGCCGAAUGAGAAGGAAAAAAAAGAAAAACAUUAAAAGAACGAAAAGUUUUGUCCAAGUGAGAUAACAUAAAUACCAAAAGAAAAUUAAUCAAUACAAUUGUAAGAAAACAAUUGAACAAUGAGAAAAAAACUACAUUAAAAGGGGGUAAACUAUGAGAUAUCCAAUGAUGAUAACGAAGCAUUCUAACCAAAAAAAGUUCCUACGUUAUGAAAUAAUAUACCAUAAAAAAUGACUAACACUUCAAUUAACUUUCAAUCCUUAAUGUCCUCAUGAUAUCCACUGAUAAAUUUAGUAAAAUACAUAAUAACAACAUAAAAAUAAAAAUAUUGACAUGCAAAUUUAUUAACUGGCAAAGGUUUUUUGAAAAACCCAAAAUGACAUCCUUGUAUGUGAAGUAAUGUUGUUGAUGAAGAAAUUAUUGAUUUGUAAGGAUUUUUUAAAUUGUAUCUUCAACAAUUUCAAUAGAGAAAAGUUACUUCAACACGCAAUUAACAUUUGUUACUUAAUUUGUAUCAACAAAUAUAUAACAAUAACUUUGCAUAAAAAUAGACAACAAAUUUUAAAGCAAGUAUUCAAAACAAAAAUUUAUAAUAUAGGCAUAAAUUAAUGUAUGUAAAAAAGUACUAGGAUAUCCGUUGAAUGCACAGUGUUCCCUUAAGGGAGUUAUUCUCCUCUCGUACCCGAUGUUUAAAGGAUUAAAUCAUAUCAAGAUAUAACUAUUCUAUUCACUAGUGCGUUGAUAUAUAAACAAUGAUGUUAGUGAGUCAUUCAACAGGAGCAAAGUGCAGAGCAAUUUGAUUGUCCAAAAGAAGAAGAAGAAGUUCAAAAUUUUCGUUGUUUUAAAAUGAGAGAAAAAUCCCCUAUUUAUAGACAACAAAGGAUAGUGCAAACAAAUGAUUAUUUUGUCUUAUUGAAAAAAUAACAACUCUUUUGAAAAAUUACAACCCUUUGGAAAGGUCACAACCUUUAAUAAAAGUCGCAACUUUUUGGAAAAAUUACAACUCUUUAGAAAAGUUACAACCUUUCAUAUAAAGGCAAAAUAUUUAAAAAUGACAACUCUUCAUAAAAGUCUCAUCUUUUUUUAAAAGACACAAUUUUUCAUAAAAUUUAAAGAUUAGCUUUGAAAAAAAAUUAAAUUAAAAGGAAAUCUGAUUUGUAUAAAAAUUUAACUCCAUUAUUGAUAUUGUAAAUUGAUUAAUGUCUACAGCCUCACUUGCCAAUGUUCGAUUGGAAGGCAACACCCAACACUUAUCGCUUAAAACAAAAGUUGAUUUAAACUAGAAUAAUAAAUAAAUAAAUUGGCAUUAUACAAGAAAAAAUUAAACUAGAACAAUAAAUAAAUAAAACCCGUUUUCGAGAGCCUAAAAAUACAAAAAUUGCUACAGGAGGAUCAAAUGUGACCAAACUAUUUUAGGUUUUCAUUGAUUUAAUUUGCUUAUUUGCGUGGCAUAUAAUCCCACCUUCACUUUUCGUUGUUCAACUUCAAUUUUACGUAUUAUUUAAAAAAAAAUAAUGAUUAAUUGAUGUAUAAUUUUAGCUAUUGAAAAUAAAGGGAAUAUAAAUAAUUAAUAUUGAGCGUAAAAUAAUUUUUUUCUUAAUAACUUAAAAUUAAUAUGUAAAAAUAAGAUUUAAUUUUUAAAAUAAUGAACAAGUAAAAAUUUCUUGUGGCAUGACUUAAUAGCAGUGGCGGAUCAGGAUUUAAAGGUUGUGGGUGCUCACUUCCUUUAACAUAAAAUUCGGUGGAAUUUUUUUAAAAAAAUAAAUGCUACUGGUGGGAUUCAAACCCUCGCUUGUUGGUGCGCACGCCUCUUAUUGAGGAGGUUUAAACCAGCUCACCCACAACUGCUUUUGUUCUAUGGCUGCUCGUUUAAAUUAUAAUAAUAUAUGUAUCAUAUUUUCUAUAUAUAUAUAUACAUAUAUAUAUAUAUAAAAUUUCGGAAAUCAAUGGGUGCUCGAGCACCCGCGUCUGGCUUACUGGGUCCGCCCCUGCUUCAUAGCUAUAGCCUCUCUCUUUGAAGCAAUAGACAAUAAAAGGUGCUUUAAUUAUAUUAAGCUACUACACCUUGUACUUGUACAGUUGUACAAAAUAUCAUUUCAUAAAAAUCUGGAAUUUUUGACCAAAAUAAGUCAUUUUAUAAAUCAAUUCAUCAAAAUAGUAUGUUUUUAAUUUUGUUUACAAAACUAGUAUAAACGUGGUUCACAGUAACGUUUUAUACUUUAUUUAUUUUUUAAAAAAAUUAUUUUAUUUUAAAAAAUUUAAUGAGAAAAGGGACGGUCUGCUAACGACGUUAAAUAAUAAUACGUAACUGGAAAUUACGUUUUAACUCUAAUACGUUAUUGGGAAUAACGUUUUAAGCAUAUAUAAUUUAAUAAUAAUACGCAACUGGAAAUUACGUUUUAACUCUAAUACGUUAUUGGGAAUAACGUUUUAAGCAUAUAUUAUGCCUACACUAGAACAAAAAACCCCCAAUUUAGUUAUAUAAAAUUGGGGAAGAAACUCCUUUUUCCAUUGAAGCGUAAAACAUAAAUUAGCCCCUUCUCCUCUUUCUCCCUCUUCUCUGUGUUUUUUUUUGAAACGAGAAAGAUAAAAGGUAUUAUCGCACUCGAUUGCAACCCAUAUUUCCCCAAACUCGCCGGCACUCGGCUGAGACCAAAACGACAAAUUGGGGAAGAAAACCCUCCAAGAAAACCCACUUCAUUCUCCAAACCUACAUUCAAGUUACAAGGGAUGAAGAGAACUAGCAUCAAAUCUCGCUCCAAAGGCACAAUGGAGUUGAAGAAUGUUGUAUCUGAAAAGAGGAGGUGAAAUUUUUAAAACUUUGAAAACGGCUGCAGAUCUGCUUUAAAAAGGUAAAAAAAACUUUGAUAAAGAAGAGUUCUUUUUGUGAUUCAGGUAAUUUUGUCAUACAUUGAUUUAGUUUAUCUUAUAGUUGAUGAAUUUGUUAUUUUCCUUUGGUGAAUUGAUUUAUAGAAACUUAUUUUGGUCAAAAUUCAGAUUUUAAUGUUGAUGUAGGUUGACCCUUGCCACUCUUACCAAAUCUUUGAUUUGGGCAUGGGAGAGAGUUACCGUCCUUACGCCUCAGAUUGUAGCAAAAAGAGAUACAAGGAAUAUUUUUCCUGUUGGUUUACCAAGGGGUCCACAUGGUGCUACAUUACCAAGGGGUCAAAUUGAUUAGGAAGAUUUAUACCAAUGUCAUUUUGAGAAAAAUCUCUAGCAUUAUUGAUAUCUUCAUCUGAUUCACUUUCACCAUCAUCUUUUGAAGGUUCAUCUCCCUCCGAACAUUCUUCACUAAUUUAAGCAUUUACAUCAUUAUAUGGAUCAACAUUGUUCUCAUUUUCUCUGUGGAAAAAGAAGUUCAAUUAAAUUUUAGAAAAUUAUGAUA
Solanum lycopersicum (tomato) is the source of this 4748-nucleotide non-coding RNA. The record is from RefSeq and is a predicted model, not a curated record. NCBI's taxonomy places the organism in Eukaryota, Viridiplantae, Streptophyta, Magnoliopsida, Solanales, Solanaceae.